ACAGAGGGUGCGAGCGUUAAUCGGAAUUACUGGGCGUAAAGCGUAUGUAGGCGGCUAGGUAAGUUGGAUGUGAAAGCCCAAGGCUUAACCUUGGAAUUGCAUUCGAUACUGCCUAGCUAGAGUACAGUAGAGGAAAGCGGAAUUCCUAGUGUAGCGGUGAAAUGCGUAGAUAUUAGGAGGAACACCAGUGGCGAAGGCGGCUUUCUGGACUGAUACUGACGCUGAGGUACGAAAGCGUGGGGAGCAAACAGG
Molecule: ribosomal RNA, 252 nt
Filed under: uncultured bacterium
Lineage: Bacteria
Description: partial 16S ribosomal RNA
Rfam family: Bacterial small subunit ribosomal RNA
Source: RNAcentral